AUACGAAGGGUGCAAGCGUUAAUCGGAAUUACUGGGCGUAAAGCGCGCGUAGGUGGUUUUGUAAGUUGGAGGUGAAAGCCCCGGGCUCAACCUGGGAAUUGCCUCCAAAACUGCAUGACUAGAGUACGGUAGAGGGUAGUGGAAUUUCCUGUGUAGCGGUGAAAUGCGUAGAUAUAGGAAGGAACACCAGUGGCGAAGGCGACUACCUGGACGGAUACUGACCCUUAGGUGCGAAAGCGUGGGGAGCAAACAGGAUUAGAUACCCUGGUAGGCCACGCCGUAAACGGUGACAACUAGCCGUUGGGAUCCUUGAGAUCUUAGUGGCGCAGCUAACGCAUUAAGUUGACCGCCUGGGGAGUACGGCCGCAAGGUAAAAACUCAAAUGAAUUGACGGGG
RNAcentral lists this ribosomal RNA (396 nucleotides) under uncultured bacterium. RNAcentral's name for it is "partial 16S ribosomal RNA". It matches the Rfam family "Bacterial small subunit ribosomal RNA", at positions 523 to 918 of the family's 1533-position model. The record is from RNAcentral.